GAUGAAGAACGCAGUGAAAUGCGAUACGUAAUGUGAAUUGCAGAAUUCAGUGAAUCAUCGAAUCUUUGAACGCAUAUUGCGCUCUCUGGUAUUCCGGAGAGCAUGCUUGUUUGAGUAUCAGUAAACACCUCAACUCCCUUUUCUUUUUUGAAAUUGGAGCUGGACUUGAGUGAUCCCAACGCUUUCUUCCAAGAAAGUGGCGGGUUGCUUGAAAUGCAGGUGCAGCUGAACUUUUCUCUGAGCUAUAAGCAAAUCUAUUUAAUCUGCCUAAAAAACAGAUUAUUACCUUUGCUGCAGCUAACAUAAAGGAGACUAGUUCUUGUGCUGACUGAUGCAGGAUUCACAGAGACAGCUUCGGCUGACUUUGUAAACUCGAUCUCAAAUCAAGUAAGACUACCCGCUGAACUUAAGCAUAUCAAUAAGCGGAGGA
RNAcentral lists this unclassified non-coding RNA (430 nucleotides) under soil metagenome. Its description in RNAcentral is "partial contains 5.8S ribosomal RNA, internal transcribed spacer 2, and large subunit ribosomal RNA". The stretch from base 1 to 120 matches the Rfam family "5.8S ribosomal RNA", at positions 35 to 154 of the family's 154-position model. The record is from RNAcentral.